CUGGCUUCAGCACAGAUAUACUAUAAUUGAAAAGAUACAGAGAAGACAGCGUCACCCCUGGGAAAGGAUGACAUGCAGACUUAGGUAGCAUUCCAAAUUUUU
This is a small nuclear RNA of Psammomys obesus (fat sand rat), 102 nucleotides long. The record is from RefSeq and is a predicted model, not a curated record. Lineage: Eukaryota; Metazoa; Chordata; Mammalia; Rodentia; Muridae.